Conger conger (European conger) is the source of this 2497-nucleotide long non-coding RNA. RefSeq lists it as uncharacterized. The record is from RefSeq and is a predicted model, not a curated record. NCBI's taxonomy places the organism in Eukaryota, Metazoa, Chordata, Actinopteri, Anguilliformes, Congridae. The transcript has 3 exons.
CCUGCCCAGCUCCAUACAGCAGGAGAUUUCCCACUGAACAGAUAAAACAUCUGAAGUUGUACUCUCAACUGAACGAAUACAUUUUCUGAAGAGAUGAUGUCAUUACUGUGUCUGUGUACAGCUGUCUUGAGCGUCCUGUCAGUAACUCUAGCUGGUGAGUCUCACCAUCUUAAGCAAUGAAAUUAACACUUUUUAUCUGAAAAUACUUUUUGUCAGGUUCUGUGUUUUGUUUCCUGAUCCCUAGCAUCCCAAGUGUUUUCGCCUCUUGUUUCCCUCUGUGACCACCAUAGUCUGUUUCCAGUUUCAUUCCCUCGUUCAUUUAUUCCACCUGGGUCUCAUUUUGUGUCUCUGCCUCCCCACUCCUUAUAUGUACUUCCUUCCUAUCUCUUACCAUUCAGUUCACCUGUUUCUCAUUGUGUGCUUGUUAGCAGUCUAUUUAACUAUAUUACUAUAUAUACUAUAUUCCGCUCCACUCCACUCCACUUUUGGAAUUUACGGUUUUUGAUCUCUGCCUGGCUUCUUUGAAUCUGCUUUGGAUUCUUUGGAUUUGUACCUCUCCUUUUCUGUCUCCUCGGUUUUUAAACUCUGCCUGUUUCACGAUUACUCUCUGGCUGCCCCACAUGUACCUGUCAGCCUGGAUCUCGACCAUUGCCUGUUUGUGGAUUACGUUUUGGAUCUGCCCCAUGUCAAUAAAGCCUGCUAUUACAUUAUCCCUGAGUCUGCGCUUGGCUCCUCUGUCCUGAAACCCUGACAGCUUUUGAAUACUUGAGCAUAAACCUCAGCCUGUAAUGCCAGCUCUUUUAAUAUACUGCUGAAAUAACCUUGUUGGCAUAGUCUUUAGAGUUUAUAUGUCUUUCUUUUUAUCAUUUCAAUUGGAACACAAGCAGAGGUUAUUCCAACGAUUAUUAAAUACCAUUUGCAUGCUAUGUUUACUAAUAUCUUAAUGCAUUUUGUUUUUCAGGUGAAACUGUUGUGUUGAACUGUGGUAAGGUGUACUGUGCAGCAGAAUGUUGCAAUGCAAUGGUGGAUUGUACUGUCACGUUAAAAGAAAAUUGUAGCAUUAACAUUGUGUGGGAGAAAAUGUGUUCCUGCAGUGAAAAUGGUACCUGUGGUUCUCAAAGACGCUUCAGAUGUAUCCGGAAGCAAUUGAACAGCACCUAUUGGAAAUUCACUCUUCUUAUAAACAACCCAACGAAGCAGGAUGGAAAGAUUUAUUCUGUUGUUGUUCAGACUACUUGUGGAAUGCAAAAAACACCUGUCGACUUCUCCGUCACAGGUGUCUGUCCAACGUCCGGAGAAUCCGACCCUUCCUCACUACCUAUUCUAUGCUGCUCCUCGUACAAGCAAUGGUCCUGUCCCUGGAUUAUUGCAAUUCAAUUCAUGAUUAGCCUUGUAUAUGCCAUAGAUUAUAAUGGCCCUUAUAUAUAGUUAUAUAUAGAUAUUGUUGUAUUGUAUUAGAUAUUAUAUUGCUGUACUCUGGGUUUUUCCGCUGCCAACUAUGCUAUGCUAGUUUGUAAGUUGAUGUAUUGUUCAAGUGUUCCAAUUGUAUCUGUAUAGUCACGCUAGGACUCGGAAUAAGAGACUCUGGAUAAGAGUGUUGGAAAACAUGGGAGGCAAGUCCACUACAGCCAACCCCCCCUGAAGCAUCUCACUUUUUAGUUGGUCAGCUUGUUGGACAGAAGAACACUAGAGAUGUUUUAAAUGUAGCAGAUGCAUUGCUUUUGUUAACAGUUGUAGCUUGAGCUAUAACUGCAUUACCCACAUGAGGAUUGGAUACACUUGUCGGGGAAGCAAGAAUUCGUUAAAAAGUGUUUAAAAUGGCAACUUAAGAACCCAGCAGUUUUAACCGUCAACACCCGUCAAAAAGUCCAGCACUCUGAAUACUGAACACUGAAGUGUGCCAACAGUUAAAACACUGGCCAUUAUAAUUUAUCAGUAUUUUGUCUUCUGAAUACCCCUUAUUGGCCCUACUGUAAGACCAGAAUGUGCUAGCUGAGAAGCAGAGAUAUUAAGGUCAAAGGCUGUUUGUCUGCUGGGAGAGAGACAGAGAAAGACUCCUAGUAAGCAAUUCAGAUAGUGGUCUAAUAGUAAUAAGGAUUAACACUAAAAGGUUAUUUGUAAUCAUGUGAUUGUCUUUAUGUUAACACACAUUGUCAAUUAAUAAUCAAUUGAGAAAAGUACACCUUACCCCUUACACCAGUUACAAAGGAACUUAAUGGAAGACCAUACCAAUUGUUGUGUGACAGCCAAACAUUCCAAAAGACCAGGGCUCACCUGCAUACAUUGAACAGUUGUUAGAAAAAGGGUUUUGACAAUACUUCUGGUACUGUGCUACUGUGGAGAGAAACAUUGUUGAGUUGCUUUAUCCCAAGCAGGCACAAAUAAGUCCUCUAAUGAACAAAGCCAUAAUCUUGACUACUCUGCAAACCUCUUGGAGACAUUGAAGAGUGAUUUUCUGAGAUAAGAAGAUUGUUUCUUUUCUGAUUGUGAUUUUUUU